RNAcentral lists this long non-coding RNA (231 nucleotides) under Ananas comosus (pineapple). RNAcentral's name for it is "long non-coding RNA (ACOM_LNC032296)". Lineage: Eukaryota; Viridiplantae; Streptophyta; Magnoliopsida; Poales; Bromeliaceae. The record is from RNAcentral.
UUUUUUUCUUUUUUUUCUUUUUUUUUUUUUUUGAGAGAGAUACGUAGCAUGCUAUCUACUUCGUUUAUUUCAUUUAGAAUAAACUUAGUCUGUAAAUGUGAAUCAACUAGAAUUCGAAUUUAGAUCUUGGGUACCAACCACCAAACUCUUUGUCACCUGCUCUAGGGACGGUCGGUUAAUCACGAGUUAAACAUGAAUAAAUUAGGACCAGCUUGAGAUCGGCUCGAAUCG